Non-coding RNA from Salmo salar (Atlantic salmon), 70 nucleotides. The record is from Rfam. NCBI's taxonomy places the organism in Eukaryota, Metazoa, Chordata, Actinopteri, Salmoniformes, Salmonidae.
UCCCGUGUAGCUCAGUUGGUAGAGCAUGGCACUUGCAACGCCAGGAUAGUAAGUUCGAUUCCCAUGGGGG